UAGGGAAUCUUCCACAAUGGACGCAAGUCUGAUGGAGCAACGCCGCGUGAGUGAAGAAGGUCUUCGGAUCGUAAAGCUCUGUUGUUGGUGAAGAAGGAUAGAGGCAGUAACUGGUCUUUAUUUGACGGUAAUCAACCAGAAAGUCACGGCUAACUACGUGCCAGCAGCCGCGGUAAUACGUAGGUGGCAAGCGUUGUCCGGAUUUAUUGGGCGUAAAGCGAGCGCAGGCGGAAUGAUAAGUCUGAUGUGAAAGCCCACGGCUCAACCGUGGAACUGCAUCGGAAACUGUCAUUCUUGAGUGCAGAAGAGGAGAGUGGAACUCCAUGUGUAGCGGUGGAAUGCGUAGAUAUAUGGAAGAACACCAGUGGCGAAGGCGGCUCUCUGGUCUGCAACUGACGCUGAGGCUCGAAAGCAUGGGUAGCGAACAGGAUUAGAUACCCUGGUAGUCCAUGCCGUAAACGAUGAGCGCUAGGUGUUGGGGACUUUCCGGUCCUCAGUGCCGCAGCA
This 507-nucleotide ribosomal RNA is filed under the name uncultured bacterium. RNAcentral describes it as "partial 16S ribosomal RNA". It matches the Rfam family "Bacterial small subunit ribosomal RNA", at positions 355 to 853 of the family's 1533-position model. The record is from RNAcentral.